Molecule: ribosomal RNA, 460 nt
Filed under: uncultured bacterium
Lineage: Bacteria
Description: partial 16S ribosomal RNA
Rfam family: Bacterial small subunit ribosomal RNA
Source: RNAcentral
CCUACGGGAGGCAGCAGUGAGGAAUAUUGGUCAAUGGACGAGAGUCUGAACCAGCCAAGUAGCGUGAAGGAUGACUGCCCUAUGGGUUGUAAACUUCUUUUAUAUGGGAAUAAAAUGUUCCACGUGUGGGAUUUUGUAUGUACCAUAUGAAUAAGGAUCGGCUAACUCCGUGCCAGCAGCCGCGGUAAUACGUAGGGGGCGAGCGUUAUCCGGAUUCACUGGGUUUAAAGGGAGCGUAGAUGGGUUGUUAAGUCAGUUGUGAAAGUUUGCGGCUCAACCGUAAAAUUGCAAUUGAUACUGGCAGUCUUGAGUACAGUUGAGGUAAGCGGAAUUCGUGGUGUAGCGGUGAAAUGCUUAGAUAUCACGAAGAACCCCGAUUGCGAAGGCAGCUUACUAAACUGUGACUGACAUUGAUGCUCGAAAGUGUGGGGAUCAAACAGGAUUAGAUACCCUAGUAGUC